GAGUUGUUGACACCACGGGCAGA
RNAcentral lists this non-coding RNA (23 nucleotides) under Rattus norvegicus (Norway rat). The record is from RNAcentral. Lineage: Eukaryota; Metazoa; Chordata; Mammalia; Rodentia; Muridae.